Molecule: ribosomal RNA, 384 nt
Filed under: Romboutsia sp.
Lineage: Bacteria; Bacillati; Bacillota; Clostridia; Peptostreptococcales; Peptostreptococcaceae
Description: bacterial SSU rRNA
Rfam family: Bacterial small subunit ribosomal RNA
Source: RNAcentral
AGAUUUCCCUUCGGGGACAGAAGUGACAGGUGGUGCAUGGUUGUCGUCAGCUAAUAUAGUGAGAUGUUGGGUUAAGUCCCGCAACGAGCGCAACCCUUGCCUUUAGUUGCCAGCAUUAAGUUGGGCACUCUAGAGGGACUGCCAGGGAUAACCUGGAGGAAGGUGGGGAUGACGUCAAAUCAUCAUGCCCCUUAUGCUUAGGGCUACACACGUGCUACAAUGGGUGGUACAGAGGGCAGCCAAGUCGUGAGGCGGAGCUAAUCCCUUAAAGCCAUUCUCAGUUCGGAUUGUAGGCUGAAACUCGCCUACAUGAAGCUGGAGUUACUAGUAAUCGCAGAUCAGAAUGCUGCGGUGAAUGCGUUCCCGGGUCUUGUACACACCGCC